Molecule: non-coding RNA, 221 nt
Organism: Fukomys damarensis (Damara mole-rat)
Lineage: Eukaryota; Metazoa; Chordata; Mammalia; Rodentia; Bathyergidae
Source: Rfam
GUUGAUUCAGCUGAUCUGGCUGGCUAGGCGAAUGUCCCCUUCCUCCCUCACCGCUCCAUGUGCGUCCCUCUAGGAGCUGCAUGCUCAAAGAGAACAACCACCCCCAUAGAGGAGGACUGUUUUCUCCAUCAGAGGUGUAAGAGUAGCUGCACUCCCCUGCUAGAACCUCCAAACAAGCUCUCAAAUAACCUCUCAUUUCAUUUGUGGUUUCUUUUUUCACA